AACAUUCCUCCAUCAUCUGGAUGUAGGAACUUAUUUCAGUUUUCAUCUAAACAAAAAUUAAUUUUCUAAGCAGAAUUGUUUACAUAUGUCUAGCCGUUUCUUGAAGUUGAAAUCUUUUGGGCUCCAGAGGAUAUUUUUCAAAGAAGUACUCUCCAUUUCCACUUCAGUCUCUGAUGAUUUGUUCUUUAUUUUGUCUCACUAGAAUAUUCUGCUUUGCUAUUUUCCUAUUAUUUUCAUGGUUUACCUCUCAACUAUGUAGCAUUUUCUCUUCCUAUAGCCUUAAUCACUACCUGGGGCACUUCUGAUCACAUCCUUGGAUUCCUCACAAUGUAUAUCUUUCCAUUUACUUCUGAGUGAACAGAAUAUUUUGCCCUUAUAGUUAUGAAGUUCUGCAGCACACAAAAUACUGGAGGAACUCAGCAAGUCAGGCAGAAUCUAUGGAGGGAAAUGAGUAUUAGACAUUUUGGGUCAAGACCCUUCUUCAGGGGGAUGUCAUAUGAUGAUGUAGGAUCGAGACACUGGAACCCAGCUCUCCCGUAAAAAAAAAAUCAGUAAAUUAAUGCUUAAGUGAAGAAAAGUUAGUUAAUACUUUCUAAAAGUUACUUAUAAACUACUCCGAAUUGUUUCAAGUUAUGCCUUAUAAACAGAAGAUGAAGAAAACUACUACCGUGAAGACAACGCAAGUUGGAACAGAAUCAAGGCCCACCUCUGCCAAAGAUCCGCGGGCUCAGGUAUAUUAUACCACAGCGAUACAGAACAGGAAACUGCGGCAAUAUCGACCAUUUCUAAAGAAAAAGACCAACGAGAACUGCGCAAAUGUGAAGGAAGGAGCAUGCGCAAAUGAGAACAACCUGAACUACAAAUCCCAUUUACGACUGAAACUGAAAGUGAAAGUGAAUCUGAGGGAGAGUCAGAUUCUCUGGAAAAAUCAGACAAAGAUGGAGGUAAAAGUUCUUCUGGAAAUAUAGAAAAGACUUUGAUGCAAAUAAUGCGUAAAUUAGGCGCAUUAAAAGUAAUCAAAAAAUGAUAAAUGUGGAGAUUAUGUUUGAGAAAAUGACAAAAAGACAGGAAAAAAUGGAAAAGAGAAUUAUAGAUUUGGAAACUACAACAGAAGACAUGGUUGAAAGAAUGAAUAAAAUGGAAAAUGAUAUUACUGCCUGGACAUCAGAAAGAAAACAAAUGUUGGAAAAAGUUGAUAAGCUUGAAAAUUUUAGUAGAUGAAAUAAUAUUAAAAUUGUUGGACUUAAAGAAGAUAUAGAAGGAGAAGAUCCAAUAAAUUUUUUUCAAAAAUGGAUUCCUGAAAAAUUGGAAAUGGAAGGAGAAACUAAUUGAAAUUGAAAGGGCUCAUAGAGCCUUAAGGUCAAGACCUCAAGCUGACCAAAAUCCACGAUCAAUUUUGAUAAAAUGCUUAAGAUACCAAGAUAAAGAAAAGAUCCUGAAGGCGGCUGCCCAACGUGCCAAAAAGAGAAACGGGCCAUUGAUGAUAGCAGGGAAGGCAGUUCUUUUCUAUCCUGAUAUAAGUUAUAACCUUUUGAAGAGAAAGAAGGAAUUUAACCCAGCGUAAAGAGGUUUAUGGGAAAAGGGUUAUAAAUUUAUAAUGCGUCACCCAGCAACACUGAUAAUUUUUUUUGAAGAUUUUUUACCGAUUAUCCAGAAGCGGAGGAGUUCGCACAAAAACUUCCAAAUACUCUCUAAUUACACAUGGAGGUCUCCAAGUGUAAUGGAUUAAAGAUGAAGACAGAGACAGUGAAUGGAAGUGAUGGACAUUUAAGGAUGACAUAGGGGAGAAAAGCAAAAUUUCAGAUAUACUAAUUGAGAAUAGUUUUUUUUUCUUAUAUAUACUUUUUUAUUUUGCGGGGGGGGCUGGGGAGCUUUGGAUUGAUUACUACGGGAUUCACGUGUGUAAUCAUGACGAUCGCCAUGACCUGUACAAUAGAGAGGGGUAAUGUUGUGUUUUUUUUUCCACAACAUUAGUAGGGGGGUAUUUUGUUUUUUUCUUUGCACUCUAUUUUUCUUCUAUCUUUCUGCCUGGAUGAUUGGUGGGGACACACAUAGCAACAUGGAGAAUUUUAGAAAGAUUUCCCAAGAUACCACGGAAGUUGAAAGAUUAGGUUUUAUUAUAGAUUGGAGUAACAUAAUUGAAAAUAAUGACUAAUUUACUGAAUUUUUAAAGUUUUAAUGUUAAUGGGCUUAAUGGACCGGUGAAAAGAAAAAGAAUUUUAACAUACAUUAAAAAAAUGAAAAUAGAUAUAGCUUUUUUACAAGAAACACAUUUAACGGAGAUAGAACAUCAGAAAUUAAAAAGAGACUGGGUUGGAAAUGUUAUUGCAGUUUCAUUUAAUUCAAAGGCGAGAGGAGUUGCAGUUUUGGUUAAUAAAAAUUUAGCAAUUAAAAUACAAAACGUAUUAAUUAAUUCGGCCGGGAGAUAUGUAAUUAUACAUUGUCAAAUUUUUUCAGAAUUAUGGACUCUUAGGAAUACUUAUGCACCAAACGAAAAUGAUGUAAAAUUUAUACAAGAGGUCUUUUUGAAUUUGGCUAACGCACAUGACAAAAUAUUAAUAGGUGGAGAUUUUAACUUUUGUUUAGAUCCAGUUUUAGAUAGAUCAACAAAGGUUGUCACAAAAUUAAAAGUAGCAAAAUUAAUAUCAUUGAUGAAAGACUUAAAUUUGAUUGAUAUAUGGAGAAGAAUGAACCCAAAAGAAAGAGAUUAUUCAAAUAGACAUAAAACAUAUUCAAGGAUAGAUUUUUUCUUAUUAUCAACGAAUAUGCAAGAUAGAGUGAAAAACAUGGAAUAUAAAGCGAGAAUAUUGUCAGAUCAUUCUCCUUUGAUAAUGACAAUGAUGAUAGAUAAAGAGGAAUCAAUUUAUAGAUGGAGAUUUAAUGCAAUGUUACUAAAACGUCAAGAUUUUUGUGAUUUUAUGAAAAAGCAGGUUCAGUCUUUUUUAGAUACAAAUUUACAUUCAGUUGAUGAUAAAUUUAUAUUGUGGGAAGCAAUGAAGGCAUAUUUGAGAGGUCAGAUAAUAAGUUAUACUUCUAAAAUUAAGAAGGAAUAUAUGAUAGAAAUAGAUCAAUUGGAAAAAGAGAUUACAAAAUUAGAAAAAGAAUCUCAAAGAUAUAUGACAGAAGAAAAACAAAGACAACUUAUUAAUAAGAAGUUACAAUAUAAUACACUAAAGACAUAUUGAACAGAAAAAGCAAUUAUGAGAAUUAAACAGAGAUAUUAUGAACUAGGUGAAAGAUUACAUAAGGUCCUUGCAUGGCAGUUAAAAACAGACCAGACUUCUAAAACAAUAAAUGCAAUUCGAACAAGAGUAAAUAAAAUUACUUAUAAACCUUUAGAAAUUAAUGAAACUUUUAAGAAUUUUUGUUCUGAAUUGUAUAAAUCAGAAUCACAAAAUGAUAAUGUCAAGAUAGAAAGGUUUUUAUCACAAAUAACUCAUCCAAAAUUAAAUACGGAAGAACAGAAGAGAUUAGAUAUGCCUUUUACAUUAAAAGAGGUUGAAGAAGCUUUAGGAUCAUUUCAAAGUAAUAAAUCUCCAGGAGAAGAUGGUUUUCCGCCUGAAUUUUAUAAAAAGUUUAAAGAUUUAUUAAUUACUCCUUUUAUGGAGUUAAUACAUCAAGCGGAAAGAACGCAUAAACUUCCAGAAUCUUUUUCGACAGCUAUUUUAAUAGUAUUGCCAAAAAAAAGAUAGAAAUCUUUUAAAGCCAACAUCAUAUAAACCUAUUUCUUUGUUAAAUACUGAUUAUAAAAUAAUAGCAAAAAUCUUAUCUAACAGACUAUCUAAAUACUUGCCAAAAUUAAUACAUAUGGAUCAAACAGGAUUUAUUAAAAAUAGACAAUUGGCAGAUAAUGUAACUCGGUUAUUUAGUAUAAUUCAUUUCGCUCAAAAGAGGGAGGAAAUGAGUGUGGUAGUUGCUUUAGAUGCAGAAAAAGCAUUUGAUAGAUUGGAAUGGGAUUUUUUAUUUAAGGUAUUGGAAAAAUAUGGAUUAGGGGUAUCUUUUAUACAAUGGAUCAGAACCUUAAAUAUUAAUCCCAAAGCUAAAGUAGUGACAAAUGGUCAAAUUUCAACAUCAUUUCAGUUAACAAGGUCAACUAGGCAAGGUUGUCCAUUAUCACCUGCUUUAUUUGUGUUGGCGAUAGAACCAUUAGCUGAAUUAAUUAGAAUGGACCCAGAUAUUAAGGGUUUCAGAGUUAAUCAGGAAGAAUACAAGAUUAAUUUAUUUGCUGAUGAUGUUCUGCUUUAUUUAAUAAACCCAUUGCACACGUUGCGUAAAUUAUCCUAUAGAUUAAAAGAAUAUGGGAAAAUAUCAGGUUACAAAAUAAAUUGGGAUAAAAUGAAAUUUUACCUCUUACUAAAGGAGAUUAUAGUCAAUGUCGAUUAAUAACUCAAUAUAGAUGGCCGGCAAAUGGUACAAAAUAUUUAGGUAUAAGAGUCGAUAAUGAUAUAAAGAACUUAAACAAAUUAAAUUACUUACCAUUAUUGAAAAAAAUUCAAGAAGAUCUUGAUAAAUGGAUGAUAUUACCAAUAACAUUAGUAGGUAGAGUAAAUACCAUAAAAAUGAAUAUAUUCCCUAGACUACAAUACUUAUUUCAAUCACUACCAAUACAAUUACCCCAGAAGUUUUUUCAAGAGUUAAAUAAAUAUGUGAGGAAGUUUCUUUGGAAAGGUAAGAUGUCAAGAAUAUCGUUGGGAAAAUUGACAUGGAAAUUUGACCUCGGAGGGUUACAACUUCCAAACUUUAAAAAUUAUUUUAAAGCAAAUCAACUUAGAUUUAUUGCAUCUUUUUUGAUGAAGAUAAACCGGCAUGGAUUAGAAUAGAACUAGAUAAAAUAGGAGAAAAUAUACCAGAAGAUUUUAUAUAUAAGUGGGAAUCUAAAUGGAUAUGGGAAAAUAAAGAAUCUCCAAUAUUGAAACAUUUGAUUGAUUUAUGGAAUAAGAUAAAUAUUGAUGAUGAGAUAAAGAAAUCUUUAUUAGCAAAGAGAUCUUUAUUUCAAAAUAAACUUAUUCCUUUUACAAUGGAUAACCAACUUUUAUACAACUGGUUUCAAAAAGGGAUUACCGUAAAUUCUGGACUAUAAGCCGCUACUUUUUUCCCACGCUUUGAACACUGCAGCAACACUGUGGCCUAUACUACGGUGCGGCUAAUGCAUGUUUUUUUUUAUGCCGCCAAAAACAUUUUGCCUCGUAACAGUAGACCAAUAAAAUUGAUGAGUAGUUCACAGAGGUCCAAUGAAAUUGUAUGAUAAAUCAAGCGCACUUUCACAAUUAAAUUAUUGUAAAUCAGUCAUUUGUACUCACCCUCAUCAACAUGGAAAACACUCGAAGAAAAGCAUAUGAUGCAGCUUUUAAGUUAAAGGCGAUCAAUCUGGCGGUUGAAGAAGGAAAUCGAGCUGCUGCACGUAAUCUUGGCAUAAAUGAAUCGAUGGUGAGACGGUGGAGACGCCAGUGUGAAGAACUGAAUCAAUGCAAAAAGACGACAAAAGCUUUCAGAGGUAAUCAUAGCAGAUGGCCCGAACUUGAAAACUUUCUUGAAGACUGGGUUAACACACAGAGAGCAGGCGGCCGCGGUGUUUCCACCGUGCAGAUCAGACUGAAGGCUAAAGCAAUCGCCACCAAAAUGAAAAUCGAAGAUUUUAGAGGUGGGCCAUCAUGGUGUUUUAGUUUUAUGAGACGAAAAGGCCUGUCCGUCAGGGUACGCACGACUCUGUGUCAGCAGCUCCCUCCCAACCACGAGGAAAAACUUGCUAACUUCCGCACAUUCACUCAAACAAAGAUAGCGGAGAUUUCCAUCGGGCCAGAUGAUAUCAUAAAUAUGGAUGAAGUACCUUUGACGUUUAACCUGCCUCUCACUCGGACUGUUAAUAAAAAAGGUGACUCGUCCAUCACACUGAAAACAAGUGGCCAUGAGAGAACGCAUUUUACUUGUGUUCUGAGCUGCACAGCAUCCGGACUAAAGCUUCCACCGAUGGUGAUUUUUAAGCGGCUGACAAUGCCAAAGGAAAAAUUCCCAAAAGAAAUCAUGGUGAAAGUCAAUAAGAAAGGUUGGAUGACGGAGAAUCUAAUGAAGGAUUGGCUGAGAGAGUGCUACGCCAAGCAACCAGGGGGAUUUUUUCACAGAAAAAAAGCAUUGCUCGUUAUGGACAGCAUGAGGGCCCAUAUAACAGAUUCAGUGAAAGCUGCCAUCAAGAGUACAAACUCAAUUCCAGCUAUGAUUCCUGGGGGCACCACGAAGUAUUUGCAGCCACUGGACAUCAGCGUGAUUCGGGCAUUUAAAGUGGCGCUGUGCGUUGAGUGGGAGGCUUGGAUGACGAGCGGCGAGAAAUCCUUUACCAAAACAGGACGCAUGCGAAGAGCAUCUUUAACUCAAGUCUGCCAGUGGAUCCUAAAUGCGUGGAGCCGUGUCACAACAUCCAUCGUCACCAACGGGUUUCGAAAGGCUGGACUGCUGCGUGAUGAAGAGGACCGCGUGCGCUCAAGUGAGAGCGACAACGAAGAGACUGAAGUGAAUGACGAGAUCCUGAAGUGUUAUUCAAUUCGGACACUGAAGAAGAGGACUUUGAUGGUUUUAGUGCGCAGGAGGAAGAUGAAGAAGGCGAUCAAUAACAUUUCCUGGUAGGCUGCAGUAUAUAUAUUUAUUUUACCAGUCAUUAGGAGAUAUUGGAAUGUUGUUUGUGCACUGUUCAGUAAAAAAGUAUACGCAACGUAAUUUGUAUGUUACCGAUAUGUAUGUAUAUUUAAAAGUAGCUGUGUUACAGGCACUGUUCGAAAAUAAGCAUUUGCAAUAUGUAUUUGUUUAUGUUACCAUAGGGAUUUAAUUAAAAGUUAAAAAAUCCUCACGUGUAAUAUCUUUCUGUAUAAAUAUCUCAUAUUACAACGUGGGACACCUGUGGCUUAAAAUCCGGUGUGGCCUGUACAAGUACAAAAUUGAUUUUCUUUCUAAAAUUAGAGCGUGCGGCUUUUAAUCAGGUGCGCUCUGUAGUCUGGAAUCUGCGGUAGAUAUAUAGGAGAUUGUUUUGAAGGAGGUAUAUUAAUGUCAUUUGAUCAAUUAAAGAAUAAAUAUAAAGUAUCAAGCAACACUCUUUUUUGUUACUUCCAAUUAAGGGCUUAUUUAAAUGAAAAAUUAGCUCAAACAAUGUUAUUGCCGAAAUCUAGUGAAAUAGAAACUUUAAUUCAAAAAGGUAAAACUAAAAAAAUUAUUUCUUGUAUGUAUAGCUUGAUUCAAAAACAGGCAACUAAACAAGGAGUCCAUAAGUCAAGACAAAAAUGGGAAAGUGACUUGAAUAUUUAAAUUGAAGAAACAAAUUGGUCAAGAUUAUGUCUUGAUAGUAUGACAAAUACACUAAAUGUCCGGUUAAGAUUAGUUUAAUAUAAUUUUUGACAUCAAUUAUAUAUUACACCACAAAAAAUAAAUAAAUUAAAUCCAAAUUUAUCUGAUCGGUGUUUCUGAUGUAACCAAGAAAUUGGUACUUUUUUUACAUUCUACUUGGUCUUGUUCUAAAAUUCAACCUUUUUGGACAAAUCUAAGAGUUUUAUUGGAACACAACUUCCGCAUAAUCCAAUAUUAUUUUUAUUAGGCGAAAUUGAAGGGAUAAAAUCGAAACCCAAGUUGAAUAAAUAUCAGAAAUAAUUUAUAAAAAUUGCACUGGCUGUAGCCAAAAAGGCUAUUGCAAUUACUUGGAAAUCGGAUGCAUAUUUAAGUAUCGAUCGUUGGAAGAAUGAAAUUUCCAGCUGUAUUCCACUUGAAAAAAUUACUUAUAAUUUAAGAGAAAAUACGAAACAUUUUUGAAAAUUUGACGCCCUUAUUUACAAAAAACAGGGUUAAAUAUAUAGGUGCUCUGAAGAUAAAAUAAUUGGUUAUUUGGGGAAAGAAAUAAAUAUAUAUACUAAAGUUAUUACGAACUCCGUGGAGCAUGUGGGGAUCUUCUGAUAUCCAGGCACUCUUUCUUCCUUUCCUUCUUUCUUUUUUUUUCUAUAGGGAUGUUGGGGUGGGGGAGAAGGGUAUUAUUUUUUUUCUUUCUGUAAUCAUCUGAAAACUUAAUAAAAAAAGUUAAAAAAAAAAACCCUUCUUCAGGACCGGUCUGAUUGUACUGUUUAAUUCUUUUACUUUUGGCCAACAUGCCAAACUUCCUCAUACAACUCCUUAUCAUAAUUCUGAAGUCCUGUUAUUCUAUAGUCCAUCACCCAUCUUCUAGUACACUCCUCCAUGUCUUCUCCAAGUUCAUUUCAUCCAAGAAUUCCAUCACAUAAUACUUCAGCUUGUUUAAAAUCUUUCCUUCCUGUUCCCUUUGCUUACUAACUUUGUGCAUAGUACCAUUUCAGCAGACACUGCCCCCUCAUUCAAAAGUGCCAUCAUUACCCUUGUGCAAAAAUAUCACAUCUUAAUUUUGUUAAUUGAUCAUUGUUUCAUUUUCAAUAUACAUUUCUGCUUGAGUCCUUGAGUAUCUCUCUUGCAAUUUUUUGGUUGAUGCCCCCAAUCAUGUUAUAAAUACCCUUACUAAAUUCUACAAUUUGUGAUGCAUCACCCUUCAUGGAUACUCAAUUCUGGAGCAAACUCCAAUCUUUCAGGCUAAAAUGCCCACCCCACUGGUACUCCACUGCAUGUUGAAUGUUUCAUGUGCACUUCAGACCUAAUGCUUCUCUACUUCUUGUGAGCAGGGAUCCAGGUGAUCACAGUGUGGCGAGAGUUGGACUGUGAAUGUAUACAACAUGGCGGUUUGUGCUGACAUGCAAUUUCUUUAUACUGUACAGAUUAGCAUAUUUCAGCAUAAAAUUAUAAACGUGCUAGGGAAUUCAUGAAAUUCUCAGGGAUGAAUUUGCUGUUGAUAUAAUACAUAUGUUUAUUUGUCUCAGUUUGCACAAGAGAAACAAGUCAUCGACAAUAUCACUUGCAAUGCUGUUGGAUGGAGGUUGAACACUUGCUAGAAGGCUACCUUCAAGAUGUUGGGAUCCAGGAAGACCAGUUUUUGGAAGCCUGCAAUUCUCCACUUGCACAGUCUGAAUCAUUUCGGGGAAUAAUGACAAGAAAAAAUAGUCUGUAC
Hypanus sabinus (Atlantic stingray) is the source of this 9040-nucleotide RNA transcript. It is a transcript of the gene named cilia and flagella associated protein 36, with no coding region annotated. The transcript is spliced from 3 exons. NCBI's taxonomy places the organism in Eukaryota, Metazoa, Chordata, Chondrichthyes, Myliobatiformes, Dasyatidae. The record is from RefSeq and is a predicted model, not a curated record.